This 398-nucleotide ribosomal RNA is filed under the name uncultured bacterium. RNAcentral describes it as "bacterial SSU rRNA". It matches the Rfam family "Bacterial small subunit ribosomal RNA", at positions 361 to 776 of the family's 1533-position model. The record is from RNAcentral.
AUAUUGGACAAUGGGGGAAACCCUGAUCCAGCGACGCCGCGUGAAUGAUGAAGGCCUUAGGGUUGUAAAGUUCUUUCGUCCACGAGGAUGAUGACAGUAGUGGAAGAAGAAGCUCCGGCUAACUUCGUGCCAGCAGCCGCGGUACUACGAAGGGGGCUAGCGUUGCUCGGAAUUACUGGGCGUAAAGCGCAUGUAGGCGGCGAUUCAAGUUAGAUGUGAAAGCUCCCGGCUUAACUGGGAAACGGCAUCGGAAACUGAUCGGCUUGAAGGUGGGAGAGGGUAGUGGAAUUCCCGGUGUAGUGGUGAAAUGCGUAGAUAUCGGGAGGAACACCAGUGGCGAAGGCGACUACCUGGCCCAUUCUUGACGCUGAGGCGCGAAAGCUAGGGGAGCGAACGGG